Molecule: long non-coding RNA, 697 nt
Organism: Mus musculus (house mouse)
Lineage: Eukaryota; Metazoa; Chordata; Mammalia; Rodentia; Muridae
Product: predicted gene, 53335
Exons: 3
Source: RefSeq, a predicted model, not a curated record
UUUAUUUCCUGGGAACCAGGGAAAGCAGAACUCAGCAAGCAGAAUGCCACAUUUUUCUUUUCUUGCAGGACCACCAUAAUCAUUAAAGGCAUUUGUGAAAUCAUCGUACUCAGCACUAAACACGCUCAAUAGAUGUAGUUUCCAGCUCCCUCACUCCAGGCGUUCCAGAUGAUGAAUGUGAACAUUCCUAAAGGAUGCUUCCAAGAAUACAGCCAGCCUUCAAGAAACUACAGCUAACCAGAACAAAUAAGGCAAAAUUCCUCAUAUCCAUGCUGGACAAGGCAGCCCAAACAGGAGGAAAAGAAUAUCAAGAGAGAAAAAUAAACACAGAAGUGGAUGCUCACAGUCAGCUAAUGGAUGGAUCACAGGGCUCCCAAUGGAGGAGCUAGAGAAAGUACCCAAGGAGCUAAAGGGAUCUGCAACCCUAUAGGUGGAACAACAUUAUGAACUAACCAGUACCCCGGAGCUCUUGACUCUAGCUGCAUAUGUAUCAAAAGAUGGUCUAGUCGGCCAUCACUGGAAAGAGAGGCCCAUUGGACACGCAAACUUUAUAUGCCCCAGUACAGGGGAACGCCAGGGCCAAAAAGGGGGAGUGGGUGGGUAGGGGAGUGGGGGUGGGUGGGUAUGGGGGACUUUUGGUAUAGCAUUGGAAAUGUAAAUGAGCUAAAUACCUAAUAAAAAUGGAAAAAAAAGAAAA